Molecule: non-coding RNA, 193 nt
Organism: Zea mays
Lineage: Eukaryota; Viridiplantae; Streptophyta; Magnoliopsida; Poales; Poaceae
Source: Rfam
UUCAUUUUUCUGUCUUUUGGCUAAGAUCAAGUGUAAUAUUUGUUUACCAGUUCAAUAUCUGGUAUAUAAACAAUAUAUUCACUUUUACAUUAAAUUCAUUUAUUAUGGGUGUUUUUAUGUGGGGUCCAUUAAGACUCUCAAGUGUCGCUCCAAUCAAUGUCAUCAAAUAUAGUUGGGUACCGUCGCAACCCAU